RNAcentral lists this ribosomal RNA (763 nucleotides) under Actinomycetes bacterium. RNAcentral's name for it is "bacterial SSU rRNA". It matches the Rfam family "Bacterial small subunit ribosomal RNA", at positions 131 to 907 of the family's 1533-position model. Lineage: Bacteria; Bacillati; Actinomycetota; Actinomycetes. The record is from RNAcentral.
CCAGGCUUUGGGAUAACCCCGGGAAACCGGGGCUAAUACCGAAUAUGACCUCCGAUCGCAUGGUUGGUGGUGGAAAGUUUUUCGGCUUGGGAUGGGCUCGCGGCCUAUCAGCUUGUUGGUGGGGUGAUGGCCUACCAAGGCGACGACGGGUAGCCGGCCUGAGAGGGCGACCGGCCACACUGGGACUGAGACACGGCCCAGACUCCUACGGGAGGCAGCAGUGGGGAAUAUUGCACAAUGGGCGGAAGCCUGAUGCAGCGACGCCGCGUGAGGGAUGACGGCCUUCGGGUUGUAAACCUCUUUCAGCAGGGACGAAGCGUAAGUGACGGUACCUGCAGAAGAAGCGCCGGCCAACUACGUGCCAGCAGCCGCGGUAAGACGUAGGGCGCGAGCGUUGUCCGGAUUUAUUGGGCGUAAAGAGCUCGUAGGCGGCUUGUCGCGUCGACUGUGAAAACCCGCAGCUCAACUGCGGGCCUGCAGUCGAUACGGGCAGGCUAGAGUUCGGUAGGGGAGACUGGAAUUCCUGGUGUAGCGGUGAAAUGCGCAGAUAUCAGGAGGAACACCGGUGGCGAAGGCGGGUCUCUGGGCCGAUACUGACGCUGAGGAGCGAAAGCGUGGGGAGCGAACAGGAUUAGAUACCCUGGUAGUCCACGCUGUAAACGUUGGGCGCUAGGUGUGGGGGGCCUCUCCGGUUCCCUGUGCCGCAGCUAACGCAUUAAGCGCCCCGCCUGGGGAGUACGGCCGCAAGGCUAAAACUCAAAGG